Zootermopsis nevadensis is the source of this 566-nucleotide long non-coding RNA. RefSeq lists it as uncharacterized. The record is from RefSeq and is a predicted model, not a curated record. Lineage: Eukaryota; Metazoa; Arthropoda; Insecta; Blattodea; Termopsidae.
AAUAGGUUAUUAACCCACAUGUUAUAUUAUAUAUACACGUUUCGGCGUGUCGCCAUCAUGUGUUUUUGGAGGUGAUAUACGACAAAUGUUACCAAAAUAUAUAUUUAACAGGCAUGGAUUUAUACUUGCAAAGUAUAAUUGAUGACUUGCAGCCCCUCUUACUGUUUGUUUAGGUGAACAAACCUGUAUUACUCUGACAUUUCAGUGGUGUCUUCGAUUUAAUAGUAGUAGAUAUGUGUAAUUUGUAAGUAAAAUCAUUUCACAUGCAUCAAGAUGGGUUGUUUUGAAAGUUACCAGAAACAUUUAAUUUUUUUAUGACAUACCAUUCUGUUUACCUUAACUAGGUAUUCUAUUAUCAAACAGCCUUAAAUAUGUUUAUAUAUUUUUAAAAUAUUAAUAUUUAAUAACUGACAUUCCUUGCAAAUGUGGAUAUAGAUUUCUGUUAACAUAUGUCCUAGUAUAUGUUCUUUAAUAAAACAAGGUCUGAUAAUGGCAUAAAGUGCUAAAAUAUGUUGGAAUGUCAUAUUGUGUAUUUAAAAAUAAAGUGUAUAUGACAGAUACUAGAA